RNAcentral lists this ribosomal RNA (620 nucleotides) under uncultured Verrucomicrobiota bacterium. RNAcentral's name for it is "bacterial SSU rRNA". It matches the Rfam family "Bacterial small subunit ribosomal RNA", at positions 77 to 680 of the family's 1533-position model. Lineage: Bacteria; Pseudomonadati; Verrucomicrobiota. The record is from RNAcentral.
UAGCAAUACAGUAGAAGUUCUAGUGGCGAACGGGUGCGUAACACGUGGGCAAUCUGCCUUAAAGUGGGGGAUAGCUCGGCGAAAGCCGGAUUAAUACCGCAUGUGAUCAGGGGAGACAUCUUCCCAAAAUCAAAGUCGGGGCAACCUGACGCUUUUUGAGGAGCCCGCGGCCUAUCAGCUAGUUGGUGAGGUAACGGCUCACCAAGGCGUUGACGGGUAGCUGGUCUGAGAGGACGACCAGCCACACUGGGACUGAGACACGGCCCAGACACCUACGGGUGGCAGCAGUCGAGAAUUUUUGACAAUGGGGGAAACCCUGAUCGAGCGACGCCGCGUGGAGGAUGAAGGUCUUCGGGUUGUAAACUCCUGUCAUUUGGGAACAAGGCGUAUUUAUUAACUGUAAGUACGUUGAUAGUACCAGAAGAGGAAGAGACGGCUAACUCUGUGCCAGCAGCCGCGGUAAUACAGAGGUCUCAAGCGUUGUUCGGAUUCAUUGGGCGUAAAGGGUGUGUAGGUGGCGCGCUAAGUCGGGCGUGAAAUUUCGGAGCUUAACUCCGAAACUGCAUUCGAUACUGGCGUGCUUGAGGACUGGAGAGGAGACUGGAAUUCACGGUGUAGCA